GAAGGACGUUGUAACCUGCGAUAAGCCCUGGGGAGUUGGUAAACGAGCUGUGAUCCGGGGAUGUCCGAAUGGGGAAACCCAGCAGAGCGAACCUCUGUUACCCACAUCUGAAUACAUAGGGUGUGUGGAGGGAACCUAGGGAACUGAAACAUCUAAGUACCUAGAGGAAAAGAAAGAAAAAUCGAUUCCCUGAGUAGUGGCGAACGAAACGGGAACAGCCCAAACCGAAGCUUUCGGGCUUCGGGGUUGUAGGACCAGCAACGUAGACUCGAGUGUUUAGCCGAAGCGCACUGGAAAGGCGCACCAAAGUGGGUGAAAGUCCCGUAGGCGAAAAGCACGGAAGCUUAGCUGGCACCUGAGUAACUCAGGCCACGUGGAAUCCUGAGUGAAUCUGCGGGGACCACCCCGUAAGGCUAAAUAUUCCGACUGACCGAUAGCGAACCAGUACCGUGAGGGAAAGG
Molecule: ribosomal RNA, 461 nt
Filed under: Ochromonas sp. CCMP1393
Lineage: Eukaryota; Chrysophyceae; Chromulinales; Chromulinaceae
Description: partial Bacterial large subunit ribosomal RNA
Rfam family: Bacterial large subunit ribosomal RNA
Source: RNAcentral